Molecule: ribosomal RNA, 1110 nt
Filed under: Staphylococcus aureus
Lineage: Bacteria; Bacillati; Bacillota; Bacilli; Caryophanales; Staphylococcaceae
Description: partial 23S ribosomal RNA
Rfam family: Bacterial large subunit ribosomal RNA
Source: RNAcentral
GGAGGACCAUCUCCUAAGGCUAAAUACUCUCUAGUGACCGAUAGUGAACCAGUACCGUGAGGGAAAGGUGAAAAGCACCCCGGAAGGGGAGUGAAAUAGAACCUGAAACCGUGUGCUUACAAGUAGUCAGAGCCCGUUAAUGGGUGAUGGCGUGCCUUUUGUAGAAUGAACCGGCGAGUUACGAUUUGAUGCAAGGUUAAGCAGUAAAUGUGGAGCCGUAGCGAAAGCGAGUCUGAAUAGGGCGUUUAGUAUUUGGUCGUAGACCCGAAACCAGGUGAUCUACCCUUGGUCAGGUUGAAGUUCAGGUAACACUGAAUGGAGGACCGAACCGACUUACGUUGAAAAGUGAGCGGAUGAACUGAGGGUAGCGGAGAAAUUCCAAUCGAACCUGGAGAUAGCUGGUUCUCUCCGAAAUAGCUUUAGGGCUAGCCUCAAGUGAUGAUUAUUGGAGGUAGAGCACUGUUUGGACGAGGGGCCCCUCUCGGGUUACCGAAUUCAGACAAACUCCGAAUGCCAAUUAAUUUAACUUGGGAGUCAGAACAUGGGUGAUAAGGUCCGUGUUCGAAAGGGAAACAGCCCAGACCACCAGCUAAGGUCCCAAAAUAUAUGUUAAGUGGAAAAGGAUGUGGCGUUGCCCAGACAACUAGGAUGUUGGCUUAGAAGCAGCCAUCAUUUAAAGAGUGCGUAAUAGCUCACUAGUCGAGUGACACUGCGCCGAAAAUGUACCGGGGCUAAACAUAUUACCGAAGCUGUGGAUUGUCCUUUGGACAAUGGUAGGAGAGCGUUCUAAGGGCGUUGAAGCAUGAUCGUAAGGACAUGUGGAGCGCUUAGAAGUGAGAAUGCCGGUGUGAGUAGCGAAAGACGGGUGAGAAUCCCGUCCACCGAUUGACUAAGGUUUCCAGAGGAAGGCUCGUCCGCUCUGGGUUAGUCGGGUCCUAAGCUGAGGCCGACAGGCGUAGGCGAUGGAUAACAGGUUGAUAUUCCUGUACCACCUAUAAUCGUUUUAAUCGAUGGGGGGACGCAGUAGGAUAGGCGAAGCGUGCGAUUGGAUUGCACGUCUAAGCAGUAAGGCUGAGUAUUAGGCAAAUCCGGUACUCGUUAAGGCUGAGC